AGUGAACGCUGGCGGCAGGCCUAAUACAUGCAAGUCGAACGGCAGCACAGCAGAGCUUGCUCUGUGGGUGGCGAGUGGCGGACGGGUGAGGAAUACGUGGGAAUCUGCCCAGUCGUGGGGGAUAACGUAGGGAAACUUACGCUAAUACCGCAUGCGCCCUUCGGGGGAAAGCCGGGGACCUUCGGGCCUGGCGCGAUUGGAUGAGCCCACGUCGGAUUAGCUAGUUGGCGGGGUAAAGGCCCACCAAGGCGACGAUCCGUAGCUGGUCUGAGAGGAUGAUCAGCCACACUGGAACUGAGACACGGUCCAGACUCCUACGGGAGGCAGCAGUAGGGAAUAUUGGACAAUGGGCGCAAGCCUGAUCCAGCCAUGCCGCGUGAGUGAAGAAGGCCCUCGGGUUGUAAAGCUCUUUGUUGGGGAAGAAAGCAGUUGGUUAAUACCCGACUGUUCUGACGGUACCCAAAGAAUAAGCACCGGCUAACUUCGUGCCAGCAGCCGC
RNAcentral lists this ribosomal RNA (499 nucleotides) under uncultured bacterium. Its description in RNAcentral is "bacterial SSU rRNA". It matches the Rfam family "Bacterial small subunit ribosomal RNA", at positions 29 to 518 of the family's 1533-position model. The record is from RNAcentral.